Molecule: ribosomal RNA, 439 nt
Filed under: uncultured bacterium
Lineage: Bacteria
Description: bacterial SSU rRNA
Rfam family: Bacterial small subunit ribosomal RNA
Source: RNAcentral
GUCUCGGGAUGGAAGCGUAACUAGUGGCGGACGGGUGAGUAACGCGUGAGUAACCUGCCUCUCAGAGGGGGAUAAACGUUCGGAAACGAACGCUAAUACCGCAUCGACAUAGUGAUACCGCAUGGUAAUGCUAUCAAAGGAGCAAUCCGACUGAGAGAUGGGACUCGCGUCUGAUUAGAUAGUUGGUGAGGUAACGGCUCACCAAGUCGACGAUCAGUAGCCGGACUGAGAGGUUGAACGGCCACAUUGGGACUGAGACACGGCCCAGACUCCUACGGGAGGCAGCAGUGAGGGAUAUUGCACAAUGGGCGCAAGCCUGAAUGCAGCAACGCCGCGUGAGGGAAGACGGUCUUCGGUAUUGUAAACCUUUGUCUUUGGUGAAGAAGAAAGUGACGGUAGCCGAGGAGGAAGCCACGGCUAACUACGUGCCAGCCGCUGC